GCGACACGGUGACGUGGGGCGGAUCCCUGAAAACCGGUCUCAGUUCGGAUCGCAGUCUGCAACUCGACUGCGUGAAGGUGGAGUCGCUAGUAAUCGCGGAUCAGCAACGCCGCGGUGAAUGCGUUCCCGGGCCUUGUACACACCGCCCGUCAAGUCAUGAAAGUGGGCAGCACCCGAAGACGGUGGCCUAACCCUUGUGGGGGGAGCCGUCUAAGGUGAGGCUCGUGAUUGGGACUAAGUCGUAACAAGGUAGC
RNAcentral lists this ribosomal RNA (254 nucleotides) under uncultured bacterium. RNAcentral's name for it is "partial 16S ribosomal RNA". It matches the Rfam family "Bacterial small subunit ribosomal RNA", at positions 1249 to 1500 of the family's 1533-position model. The record is from RNAcentral.